UGCCUCCAGGAGGGGACCUGGGGGACUGGCCCAUCAAGCUUGGCUAGGCCUGGCCCUGCAGGGGUCAACCUCUCCAGUCCUCUGGUUAAGGGCCUGGCACACCGUUUCCGAAGGACUGUGGGACGUGGUGCAACCACAUGAAACACUUGAGAUGUGUUUUUUGUGAAUAAUGCCCUUUGUCACUGGAUUCCUCUCUGGAGAGCCAAUCACACGCCUUCUCCCCAGGAGAGAAGUAGGACACGAGGAAAUGGAAGAUACUGUCUUCAUUGCAGGGUCCUAUCCUGCCCAGGGAGGCCACUUGGGAGAGAAGACAAGCAGGAAGCCUUGCGCAGAGGGCAAGGAGCUGGGCAACAAGAUCCCAGUGAACAUCACAACCAGCAAUGUCAGGGGGCUGAUGGAUGUCAGACUUCCUGCUUCUUCCUGCUCAGCUAAGUCAAUUUUUAUGUGGAGUGCUGUGUAAGAGGCUGAAAUUGGUCCUCGGAUAUAGAUCUGAGAUUUGGGGGAAUGGAGUAGAAACCCCUUGUUAGAAAUGUGAAAAAAAAGGAAUAAAAAUCCCCCUCAAAUUUG
This is a long non-coding RNA of Suricata suricatta (meerkat), 567 nucleotides long. RefSeq lists it as uncharacterized. The record is from RefSeq and is a predicted model, not a curated record. NCBI's taxonomy places the organism in Eukaryota, Metazoa, Chordata, Mammalia, Carnivora, Herpestidae. The transcript has 3 exons.